Molecule: long non-coding RNA, 586 nt
Organism: Bombyx mori (domestic silkworm)
Lineage: Eukaryota; Metazoa; Arthropoda; Insecta; Lepidoptera; Bombycidae
Exons: 3
Source: RefSeq, a predicted model, not a curated record
GCGAGGUAACGUCAAAAUAACUUGAAAAUUUGCAGACGUAUCAAUGACUCAUCAUAAUGUAAUCAUUUCGCUACUUUAGUCUAUUAUCAUGACUUAAAAUCACCAGCUAAUAAAAAGAUAUGUUAAUUACACAGAUUAUGUACACACAAUCUAUGGGACGAUGACAGACAACUACAUAUAUGACCCACCUGAUGGUGAUUGAUAAUCGACGCACGUGGACGUCAGCAAUACCAGGUGCAGAGCUAAGCCGCUGCCUACCGCCGCUAGUGCUCUCCGCAAGCCUUCUUUGUAGACGGAACUAAUCUCAUUGUAAAAUAUGGUAUUUUACUUCGCUAGGAUGAAGAGUUCCGAGGACAUAACAAAUCAAAUAUAAACUUCUACAUAUGUGGGUAUUCCAAACUUAACGCAGAUGAAAUCACCGGAUAAAAAUGCACUUAUUAAUUAAUUUAUGUUACACAAAAAUGGAAAAAAUAACUUAAAUGAACAUUGGACCUAAAAAACUGUAUUAUUUCCCUUUGUAUAAAAACCGAAGAACUGUAAAUAGCUUUUAUUUGAAAAUUACAAAAACUUCUUAAAUGUUCCAUAA